UUGGGAUAACAAUAAUUCACCCUGUAUUACUGUUAGUUGCAAGCAUGGAGUGCAACAGUCACACUUCAUAGAAAUUGAUCCAAUGCUAGACAAGGCAGAUACAUACAUAGAUGAAGGAUUUGUUAGAAGUGAUCAAAAUUUUCUGGUGACAGAUGACCUCCAUGUAACUCCAAUUUCCCUUCCCUAUUUCAUCCAGAUUUUAAAAAGACAGGGGUUACAUGCUGAUCAACUUGAGUAUGGGGAAAUCGUUAUAGAAAGGCCUCAUGUUUAUAAUCUACUUAAAACCAUGUUGACCUCAGAAACAACACUCAGUGAUGCACUUUCUUUUCGCCAAGUGGAAUAGCGGAACUGUGUGACAAUGAUGACCAGCUUUUACUUUUGUUUUUUCAUGUAAAUGUGGAUAUAAAAAAAGACUUUGGUCUAUAUUGCUCUUCCUGAUUAGUAAUUGCUUCAUAUGAUUGCUGAA
Dendrobium catenatum is the source of this 466-nucleotide long non-coding RNA. RefSeq lists it as uncharacterized. Lineage: Eukaryota; Viridiplantae; Streptophyta; Magnoliopsida; Asparagales; Orchidaceae. The transcript is spliced from 2 exons. The record is from RefSeq and is a predicted model, not a curated record.